RNAcentral lists this ribosomal RNA (451 nucleotides) under uncultured bacterium. Its description in RNAcentral is "partial 16S ribosomal RNA". It matches the Rfam family "Bacterial small subunit ribosomal RNA", at positions 354 to 796 of the family's 1533-position model. The record is from RNAcentral.
GUGGGGAAUAUUGCGCAAUGGGGGAAACCCUGACGCAGCGACGCCGUGUGAGGGAAGAAGGCUUUCGGGUCGUAAACCUCUGUCAGAAAGGAAGAACCUCCCAAGUCCGAAUAGGGCUUGGGACUGACGGUACUUUCAAAGGAAGCACCGGCUAACUCCGUGCCAGCAGCCGCGGUAAUACGGAGGGUGCAAGCGUUAAUCGGAAUCACUGGGCGUAAAGCGAGCGUAGGCCGCUUUGUAAGUCGGACGUGAAAGCCCUCGGCUCAACCGGGGAACUGCGUUCGAUACUGCGAGGCUUGAGUCCUGGAGAGGGUGGCGGAAUUCCGGGUGUAGGAGUGAAAUCCGUAGAUAUCCGGAGGAACACCGGUGGCGAAGGCGGCCACCUGGACAGGUACUGACGCUGAGGCGCGAAAGCGUGGGGAGCAAACAGGAUUAGAAACCCGAGUAGUCC